GUAGGUGCUCUGCUGUUCCUUCAGUCAAUGGCAGAUUUGGUGCUGGCUCAGCUGUUUGUUUUGAUGUUUUGGGAAGUAGAGGCACCUGAGUCUCUCUGCAGCUGACAGGAGAUACAAUGGUUCCGAGAUGCACCGUAAACCGUCCGUUCCUCUGCAUCAGAAUAAGCAGGGCUGAACGUCAGAAGAGUCUCAUCUCGUAAACACCAGUUUCUGUAGUUGUAAGGUGCCCAUUUGGGAUCUUUGAGACACCGUGUUGCGAUCAUCACGCUUUUUCCAUCGGCCGACCGCCUCUGUAAUACCCUUAAGGGCUGCGUAGAUGAUGAAGAGGAACCUGGCGACUGCAGGAACGUCCCAGUUGGCCGAUGUGUGACGUGCGCAUUGCUUAUUAUGGAUGGAUUCAGAUCCCCGGCCCUCUGAAAGCUAAGUUAUGGG
Long non-coding RNA from Grus americana (Whooping crane), 432 nucleotides. RefSeq lists it as uncharacterized. The record is from RefSeq and is a predicted model, not a curated record. NCBI's taxonomy places the organism in Eukaryota, Metazoa, Chordata, Aves, Gruiformes, Gruidae. The transcript has 4 exons.